Molecule: transfer RNA, 72 nt
Filed under: Camelus bactrianus (Bactrian camel)
Lineage: Eukaryota; Metazoa; Chordata; Mammalia; Artiodactyla; Camelidae
Also listed under: 2 other names
Rfam family: tRNA
About the family: Transfer RNA (tRNA) molecules are approximately 80 nucleotides in length. Their secondary structure includes four short double-helical elements and three loops (D, anti-codon, and T loops). Further hydrogen bonds mediate the characteristic L-shaped molecular structure. tRNAs have two regions of fundamental functional importance: the anti-codon, which is responsible for specific mRNA codon recognition, and the 3' end, to which the tRNAs corresponding amino acid is attached (by aminoacyl-tRNA synthetases). tRNAs cope with the degeneracy of the genetic code in two manners: having more than one tRNA (with a specific anti-codon) for a particular amino acid; and 'wobble' base-pairing, i.e. permitting non-standard base-pairing at the 3rd anti-codon position.
Source: Rfam by way of RNAcentral
GAAGGUAUAGCUUGGUGGUAGAGCGCAUGUUUAGCAUGCAUGAAGUCCUCUGUUCAAUCUCCAGUACUUCCA